Molecule: transfer RNA, 66 nt
Filed under: Entiminae sp. ACP-2013
Lineage: Eukaryota; Metazoa; Arthropoda; Insecta; Coleoptera; Curculionidae
Description: tRNA-Val
Source: RNAcentral
AAAUUAAAGCUUAAAAAGCAUUUUAUUUACAUUAAAAAGUUUGUUAUUAAAUUAAUAUAAUUUGAA